UCACAGCCAGCUUUGAUGAAC
This 21-nucleotide microRNA is filed under the name Dinoponera quadriceps. RNAcentral's name for it is "dqu-miR-2b-3p". Its record names the gene dqu-miR-2b-3p. Lineage: Eukaryota; Metazoa; Arthropoda; Insecta; Hymenoptera; Formicidae. The record is from miRBase by way of RNAcentral.